Molecule: ribosomal RNA, 331 nt
Filed under: uncultured eukaryote
Lineage: Eukaryota
Description: partial 18S ribosomal RNA
Rfam family: Eukaryotic small subunit ribosomal RNA
Source: RNAcentral
CCCUUAGAUGUCCUGGGCCGCACGCGCGCUACACUGAGUGUCUGAGAUACGAGUCUGCCUGGUCCGGCAAGGUCUAGGUAAUCGCUAAAAGACACAUCAUGCUUGGGAUAGAUUAUUGCAAAUAUUAAUCUUGAACGAGGAAUUCCUAGUAAACGCAAGUCAUCAGCUUGCAUUGAUUACGUCCCUGCCCUUUGUACACACCGCCCGUCGCUCCUACCGAUUGAAUGAUCCGAUGAAUACCAUGGAUUGAGAGUACGAAUAGGUUCGCUUAUUUCUGCUGCUCGAGAAGUGGAGUAAAUCUUAUCAUUUAGAGGAAGGAGAAGUCGUAACA